UCGCUUCAUCUUUAAGCUUUAAAGCAUCCAAUGCAGUAGCAUUUUCUGACGACUCGUUUCUCUCGUUGAAAUCUGAGGAACCAAUGGAGAGUUGGAGAUUAUAAGUUGAGUGAUCUUCGUUUGGUUUAGACGAUACCGAGACAUCAAACGGGCUAGAUGAAGAUGUGGUAGUAGUCAAGAGCUGGAGCUCUAAAUUCGAGACAUCAAACGGGCUAGAUGAAGAUGUAGUAGUAGUCAAGAGCUGAAGCUCUAAAUUGUGUUGCUUUGUGGAAUUCUUGAUUAUGUUUGGAUUAACAUGAUGCGUAGCUGUGUACGACGACAGAUUUUUGAGCAAAGUAGUAGGCCAUGGUAUUGUGCUGAGAUUUGUGUCACUUGAGGGGCUAGGACUUGAAGCUGUGCGAGAAAGACAAUUAGAUGGAUGUAAAGAUUGUGAUUCUGAUCGGAGUCUUACCAUGCUACAAGCAUCUUGGUGUUCAAUGAAGCUCUCCACCCUAAUAUAAAAGAGAGGAAUAUAAGUAAUCAUUUUUGGUCAUGCAAAUUAUUACUACUACUUGUUUGAAUAAAAGUAAAGUGGUAAUGAUUUUGGGUGUAAUGGAAUAAAAAGUAAAAACAAAAGAAGGACUACUUCAUCAAAUGCUGAAAAUGCUCAGCUUAUCAUUGAUUAUAUGGGAACAAAAGUAAGAAAAAUGAAAAGCAGACCUAAGCUUAGUAAAAUUACAGGAACCAUAUGUAUCUGAAGAUGGUGUUCAUAAAUAAACAUUUAACGUACGAUAAGACGAACCAGUAAAAAAGUGUGAAAGAAGAAGGAAAAAAACAGCUGAAUUAAUAAUUUAACUUUCUCAUUCUUCUUAAUUAGACAAGAGGGGCUUGGUCUGAUGGUAACCAACCCUCACUUACAACCGAGAGGUUGUGAGUUCGAGUCUCCCCAGGAGCAAAUUUGGAAACAGCCUCUCUACCCCAGGGUAGGGGUAAGGCUGCGUACACACUACCCUCCCCAGACACCACUGAGUGGUAUUGUACUGGGUCGUACUUUUUUUAUUCUUCUUAAUUAAUUAGCAAGCAGAAUGUUUUUUUGGGAAGUGAAUUUCAUUCCUCUCGGAAACAUAGAAUAAUGAAAAAGAGUAUGAAUGCCAAAACACGUUGAUUAGCUGAAGAAAAAGGAUUGAGAUGCUUAAUUUUUUUAUAUAUAAAAAAUUAAUUAAAGCAUCAAUAAAGACCUAGGAAACACGAGGUUUUGAGACUGUAGUUAAUAACGGUCCGUAAAACAGAAGUAUAUAAAAUAAAGUAAUAUUAAGCAGCUAUCAGCCGAAGGAAACCGCUUUCUAAUUUUGCGGACACUGUUUAUUUUCCUUCUUUUCCAAAAGCCUAAACAGCCGUUACAAAAUCAAAAAAGAAAUCCGAAAACCCUCAAAAAAGAAUUGUUUUGUUUUGACCAAGACAUGACAUUCGUACUACUCAUCCGUAGAACUGAAUAUAGCAGUCCAAGAAGAUAGAGCCACCAUCUCGAGAAUACCGUUUGAAAAGAAUAAACCGAGUAGUAGUACUAAGGAAGUAAUGUAGUAGUAAUAGUAGUAGAAGAAGAAGAAGAAGAAAUUAAUUAACCUUGAGAAAACGCGACCACAAUCACAAGAAUGACUACGAGUACCACAAGUUUUAAGAUGAGCUUUGUAAUCAGACUGAACAG
Molecule: long non-coding RNA, 1684 nt
Filed under: Nicotiana benthamiana
Lineage: Eukaryota; Viridiplantae; Streptophyta; Magnoliopsida; Solanales; Solanaceae
Description: long non-coding RNA (NBEN_LNC035582)
Source: RNAcentral